Molecule: ribosomal RNA, 422 nt
Filed under: uncultured bacterium
Lineage: Bacteria
Description: bacterial SSU rRNA
Rfam family: Bacterial small subunit ribosomal RNA
Source: RNAcentral
UGAGGAAUAUUGGUCAAUGGGCGCAAGCCUGAACCAGCCAUCCCGCGUGCAGGAUGACGGCCCUAUGGGUUGUAAACUGCUUUUAUACAGGAAGAAAGAUCUCUACGUGUAGGGACUUGCCGGUACUGUAUGAAUAAGUAUCGGCUAACUCCGUGCCAGCAGCCGCGGUAAUACGGAGGAUGCAAGCGUUAUCCGGGUUCAUUGGGUUUAAAGGGUGCGUAGGCGGCUUUUUAAGUCAGUGGUGAAAUCCUGUCGCUCAACGAUAGAAUUGCCAUUGAUACUGAAAAGCUUGAGUUCAGUUGAGGUAAGCGGAAUGUGUAGUGUAGCGGUGAAAUGCUUAGAUAUUACACAGAACACCGAUUGCGAAGGCAGCUUACUAAACUGACACUGACGCUGAUGCACGAAAGCGUGGGGAUCGAACA